AACGAACGCUGGCGGCAUGCCUAUCACAUGCAAGUCGAACGAGAUCUUCGGGUCUAGUGGCGCACGGGUGCGUAACGCGUGGGAAUCUGCCCUUUGGUUCGGAAUAACAGUUGGAAACGACUGCUAAUACCGGAUGAUGACGAAAGUCCAAAGAUUUAUCGCCAGAGGAUGAGCCCGCGUAGGAUUAGCUGGUUGGGGUGGUAAAGGCGCACCAAGGCGACGAUCCUUAGCUGGUCUGAGAGGAUGAUCAGCCACACUGGGACUGAGACACGGCCCAGACUCCUACGGGAGGAGGCAGUGAGGAAUUUUGGACAAUGGGCGAAAGCCUAAUCCAGCAAUGCCGCGUGAGUGAUCAAGGCCUUAGGGUUGUAAAGAUCUUUUACCCGGGAUGAUAAUGACAGUACCGGGGGAAUAAGCUCCGGCUAACUCCGUGCCAGCAGCCGCCGUAA
RNAcentral lists this ribosomal RNA (449 nucleotides) under uncultured bacterium. RNAcentral describes it as "partial 16S ribosomal RNA". It matches the Rfam family "Bacterial small subunit ribosomal RNA", at positions 29 to 523 of the family's 1533-position model. The record is from RNAcentral.